GAUCUAUUUGAGUCAGUUUUUCUUGGUUCUUGUUUUUUCGGAUAAAGAAAUUUUGAACCCAACUAGAUACUUCAAUUUUUUUGGUUUUUGUUUUGGGUCGGUUCUAGUUUUCGGGUUCACAAGCUAACACGUGGAAGAUAAAAAACUAAUCACAAAUUACAUGUCAAAAUAAAAGCAUGCAAUCGGGAAUUGUUUUGGCUUAGCUGCCGAUCAAGUUUUGGAUGAAGAUGUAAGAUGUCAGCCCUGAACUAGUCGCUGACGUAGUUGCUGAAGCAGAAGUCGUGUUGAGUGGUGAAGACCAUGUGGAGUCAAGGUGCUAAGCUGGAGUCGUGUAGACUUGGAGAGCAAGAGGGAAUCUUGGAGAUAUGGAAAGAGGAAUAAACUUGAGGUUUAUCACUUAAAGGAAGAGGAAUAAAUGCAUUCCAAGAAAAGGAAAGUUGCACUUAAUGUUAUGGAAGAUGUCCAUAUCCAUGUUGCCUUGGGGACUAGGGUUUCACGAACGUGGAAAAAAAUAUAAGAUAGCUAUGGGUCGUCUGUAGAGAGACAUAGACACAUAGGCUCAUCUUAUAGAGAGAGAAAAGCUCUUGAGAGUGUCUUGGUCGUGAUGAAGCAGUUGCCGAAGUACUUGACAGGGAGAGACAAGGUUGGGUAGAUUAGGAAUCCGUAAGUAGCAGCUGUUAGGGUGUUGACAGGUUUUGUAAAGCUGAUAAGCAAGUCUUGUUAUAAAUUGUUUAGGCGAUAUCUAAUAAAGCAUAGUUGGUUGCUUGUAUCCUAUUGUCUCUUUGAUUUAUCUUCUGCAUUACCUUAUUGUGGUGUUAUCUUUGCACUAACAGUUGGUAUC
This 841-nucleotide long non-coding RNA is filed under the name Brassica napus (rape). RNAcentral's name for it is "long non-coding RNA (BNAP_LNC017505)". Lineage: Eukaryota; Viridiplantae; Streptophyta; Magnoliopsida; Brassicales; Brassicaceae. The record is from RNAcentral.